GACGGACGCUGGCGGCGUGCUUAACACAUGCAAGUCGAACGAUGAAGCCGGAGCUUGCUCCGGUGGAUUAGUGGCGAACGGGUGAGUAACACGUGAGCAAUCUGCCCUUGACUCUGGGAUAACUGCGGGAAACUGUAGCUAAUACCGGAUACGACACCUCGGGGCAUCCCAGGGUGUGGAAAGAAUUUCGGUCAAGGAUGAGCUCGCGGCCUAUCAGCUAGUUGGUGAGGUAAUGGCUCACCAAGGCGACGACGGGUAGCCGGCCUGAGAGGGUGACCGGCCAAGCUGGAACUGAGACACGGGCCAGACUCCUACGGGAGGCAGCAGUGGGGAAUAUUGCACAAUGGGCGAAAGCCUGAUGCAGCAACGCCGCGUGAGGGAUGAAGGCCUUCGGGUUGUAAACCUCUUUUAGCAGGGAAGAAGCGAAAGUGACGGUACCUGCAGAAAAAGCACCGGCUAACUACGUGCCAGCAGCCGCCGUAA
This 483-nucleotide ribosomal RNA is filed under the name uncultured bacterium. RNAcentral describes it as "partial 16S ribosomal RNA". It matches the Rfam family "Bacterial small subunit ribosomal RNA", at positions 28 to 523 of the family's 1533-position model. The record is from RNAcentral.